UACAGAGGGGGCAAGCGUUGUUCGGAAUUACUGGGCGUAAAGGGCGCGUAGGCGGCCCUCUAAGUCAGACGUGAAAUCCCUCGGCUCAACCGGGGAACUGCGUCUGAGACUGGAAGGCUUGAAUUCGGGAGAGGGAUGUGGAAUUCCAGGUGUAGCGGUGAAAUGCGUAGAUAUCUGGAUGAACACCGGUGGCGAAGGCGGCAUCCUGGACCGAGAUUGACGCUGAGGCACGAAAGCGUGGGGAGCGAACAGG
This 253-nucleotide ribosomal RNA is filed under the name uncultured bacterium. RNAcentral's name for it is "partial 16S ribosomal RNA". It matches the Rfam family "Bacterial small subunit ribosomal RNA", at positions 524 to 776 of the family's 1533-position model. The record is from RNAcentral.